GUGUUUCGAUUGACCGGGUCCGCCCGCGAUACGACUUGGCGGCGAGGGCAUGCACUUCUCCCCUAGUAGGACGUCGCGACCCGUUGGGUGUCGGCGUACGACGUAGCCUGUCACGAAUUGUCAGACCCCGCGUGUUCCGCCCGACUGCCCGACGGUAUAGCGUUCGGCCGGUCGCAAGCGUGGACGGUUCUUUCGGCUGUCGGACCUGGUCCGGCACCGUUCCCGCUCGCGCUGUUGGCGACCGUGUCCUCGAACAGGCCCUGCCAGUCAGCGAUGCUAUUGCUUUGGGUACUUUCAGGACCCGUCUUGAAACACGGACCAAGGAGUCUAGCAUGUGCGCAAGUCAUUGGGAAUUACAAAACCUAAAGGCGCAAUGAAAGUAAAGGUUCGCUUAUGCGAACUGAGGGAUGAUGGUGUCACGCACACCCGCAAUCCCGGGGCGUCUCACUCUCAUUGCGAGAAGAGGCGCACCAAGAGCGUACACGCUGGGACCCGAAAGAUGGUGAACUAUGCCUGGUCAGGUCGAAGUCAGGGGAAACCCUGAUGGAGGACCGUAGCGAUUCUGACGUGCAAAUCGAUCGUCGGAACUGGGUAUAGGGGCGAAAGACUAAUCGAACCAUCUAGUAGCUGGUUCCCUCCGAAGUUUCUCUCAGGAUAGCUGGCAUUCGAUGAGCGAGUCUCAUCCGGUAAAGCGAAUGAUUAGAGGCCUUGGGGCCGAAACGACCUCAACCUAUUCUCAAACUUUAAAUGGGUGAGAUCUCUGGCUUGCUUAAAUAGUGAAGCCAGAGCAGAGUGCCUAGUGGGCCACUUUUGGUAAGCAGAACUGGCGCUGUGGGAUGAACCAAACGCCGAGUUAAGGCGCCUAAACGACGCUAAUGGGAUACCAUGAAAGGCGUUGGUUGCUUAAGACAGCAGGACGGUGGCCAUGGAAGUUGGAAUCCGCUAAGGAGUGUGUAACAACUCACCUGCCGAAGCAACUAGCCCUGAAAAUGGAUGGCGCUGAAGCGUCGUGCCUAUACUCGGCCGCCAGGGCAAGAUUAGCGUAUCGCUUUGAAGCCCUGGUGAGUAGGAGGGUCGCGGUGGUGUGCGCAGAAGGGUCUGGGCGUGAGCCUGCCUGGAGCCGCCAUCGGUGCAGAUCUUGGUGGUAGUAGCAAAUACUCCAGCGAGGCCCUGGAGGACUGACGUGGAGAAGGGUUUCGUGUGAACAGCCGUUGCACACGAGUCAGUCGAUCCUAAGCCCCAGGAGAAAUAAAUCUCACACCCAUCGGGCGAAAGGGAAUCCGGUUCCUAUUCCGGAACCCGGCAGCGGAACCGUUUACAAGUCGGGCCCUCGCAAGAGAGUUCGUCGGGGUAACCCAAAAUGACCUGGAGACGCCGUCGGGAGAUACGGGGAGAGUUUUCUUUUCUGUAUGAGCGUUCGAGUUCCCUGGAAUCCUCUAGCAGGGAGAUAGGGUUUGGAACGCGAAGAGCACCGCAGUUGCGGCGGUGUCCGUAUCUUCCCCUCGGACCUUGAAAAUCCAGGAGAGGGCCACGGUAGGUGUCGCGCCGGUUCGUACCCAUAUCCGCAGCAGGUCU
Molecule: ribosomal RNA, 1575 nt
Filed under: Polygenis roberti roberti
Lineage: Eukaryota; Metazoa; Arthropoda; Insecta; Siphonaptera; Rhopalopsyllidae
Description: eukaryotic LSU rRNA
Rfam family: Eukaryotic large subunit ribosomal RNA
Source: RNAcentral